This 254-nucleotide ribosomal RNA is filed under the name uncultured bacterium. Its description in RNAcentral is "partial 16S ribosomal RNA". It matches the Rfam family "Bacterial small subunit ribosomal RNA", at positions 524 to 776 of the family's 1533-position model. The record is from RNAcentral.
UACGUAGGGGCCUAGCGUUGUCCGGAUUUAUUGGGCGUAAAGAGCUCGUAGGUGGUUUGUCGCGUUGUUCGUGAAAACUCACAGCUUAACUGUGGGCGUGCGGGCGAUACGGGCAGACUUGAGUACUGCAGGGGAGACUGGAAUUCCUGGUGUAGCGGUGGAAUGCGCAGAUAUCAGGAGGAACACCGGUGGCGAAGGCGGGUCUCUGGGCAGUAACUGACGCUGAGGAGCGAAAGCGUGGGGGAGCGAACAGG